This 63-nucleotide transfer RNA is filed under the name Bithynia leachii. RNAcentral's name for it is "tRNA-Lys". It matches the Rfam family "tRNA". Rfam says of the family: Transfer RNA (tRNA) molecules are approximately 80 nucleotides in length. Their secondary structure includes four short double-helical elements and three loops (D, anti-codon, and T loops). The record is from RNAcentral. Lineage: Eukaryota; Metazoa; Mollusca; Gastropoda; Littorinimorpha; Bithyniidae.
GCCUAAAUGACUGAGUAUAGUAUUAGAUUUUUAAUCUAACCACGGCACAAUUCUGCCUUUAGG